Molecule: small nucleolar RNA, 80 nt
Filed under: Zosterops lateralis melanops
Lineage: Eukaryota; Metazoa; Chordata; Aves; Passeriformes; Zosteropidae
Description: Small nucleolar RNA SNORD111 (ENSZLMG00000003044.1)
Rfam family: Small nucleolar RNA SNORD111
About the family: The members of this family belong to the C/D class of snoRNAs which contain the C (UGAUGA) and D (CUGA) box motifs.
Source: Rfam by way of RNAcentral
UAGCCUGAAGUGAUGAGUGUAGUUCAUGUCUCUUCUCUGAGAUGUAUACUGGAGAUACUCCAAWGACUCUGAUCAGGCAG